CCUACGGGAGGCAGCAGUGGGGAAUAUUGGACAAUGGGCGCAAGCCUGAUCCAGCAAUGCCGCGUGAGUGAUGAAGGCCUUAGGGUCGUAAAGCUCUUUUACCAGGGAUGAUAAUGACAGUACCUGGAGAAUAAGCUCCGGCUAACUCCGUGCCAGCAGCCGCGGUAAUACGGAGGGAGCUAGCGUUGUUCGGAAUUACUGGGCGUAAAGCGUACGUAGGCGGUUAUUCAAGUCAGAGGUGAAAGCCCGGGGCUCAACCCCGGAACGGCCUUUGAAACUAGGUAGCUAGAAUCUUGGAGAGGUCAGUGGAAUUCCGAGUGUAGAGGUGAAAUUCGUAGAUAUUCGGAAGAACACCAGUGGCGAAGGCGACUGACUGGACAAGUAUUGACGCUGAGGUACGAAAGCGUGGGGAGCAAACAGGAUUAGAUACCCUGGUAGUCCACGCCGUAAACGAUGAUAACUAGCUGUCCGGGCACUUGGUGCCUGGGUGGCGCAGCUAACGCAUUAAGUUAUCCGCCUGGGGAGUACGGUCGCAAGAUUAAAACUCAAAAGAUAGUAGGCCGUGAGACGUGCCGAACGGACGACACCGAGGGAGAAGG
Molecule: ribosomal RNA, 599 nt
Filed under: uncultured bacterium
Lineage: Bacteria
Description: bacterial SSU rRNA
Rfam family: Bacterial small subunit ribosomal RNA
Source: RNAcentral